RNAcentral lists this ribosomal RNA (459 nucleotides) under uncultured bacterium. RNAcentral's name for it is "partial 16S ribosomal RNA". It matches the Rfam family "Bacterial small subunit ribosomal RNA", at positions 338 to 795 of the family's 1533-position model. The record is from RNAcentral.
CCUACGGGUGGCAGCAGUGAGGAAUAUUGGUCAAUGGGCGCGAGCCUGAACCAGCCAAGUCGCGUGAGGGAAGACGGUCCUAUGGAUUGUAAACCUCUUUUGUCGGGGAGCAAAAGACGCCACGCGUGCCGUUCCGAGAGUACCCGAAGAAAAAGAAUCGGCUAACUCCGUGCCAGCAGCCGCGGUAUGAGGGAGGAUGGGAGUGUUAUCCGGAUUUAUCGGGUUUAAAGGGGGCGCAGGCGGAAGCUUAAGUCAGCGGUAAAAUUGAGAGGCUCAACCUCUUCGAGCCGUUGAAACUGGUUUUCUUGAGUGAGCGAGAGGUAUGCGGAAUGCGUGGUGUAGCGGUGAAAUGCAUAGAUAGCACGCAGAACUCCGAUUGCGAAGGCAGCAUACCGGCGCCCAACUGACGCUCAGGCACGAAAGCGUGGGUAUCGAACAGGAUUAGAUACCCGGGUAGUC